Molecule: regulatory RNA element, 106 nt
Organism: Lactobacillus acidophilus NCFM
Lineage: Bacteria; Bacillati; Bacillota; Bacilli; Lactobacillales; Lactobacillaceae
Rfam family: PyrR binding site
About the family: This family represents the PyrR binding site and terminator structure. This RNA structure is found upstream of a variety of genes involved in pyrimidine biosynthesis and transport. The alignment also includes a portion of the antiterminator structure.
Source: Rfam
AUGUCCUUUAAAAUUAGUCCCGUGAGGCUAGCAAGGCAGGCUUAAAUAAAAGUUUUGACUUUACUGAAAGCUCCUAGUCUCAAAGUAGACUGGGAGCUUUUUUCAU